This 377-nucleotide ribosomal RNA is filed under the name uncultured bacterium. RNAcentral describes it as "bacterial SSU rRNA". It matches the Rfam family "Bacterial small subunit ribosomal RNA", at positions 362 to 758 of the family's 1533-position model. The record is from RNAcentral.
UAUUGGACAAUGGGGGAAACCCUGAUCCAGCGAUGCCGCGUGAGUGAAGAAGGCCUCCGGGCUGUAAAGCUCUUUCAGUGGGGAAGAUAAUGACGGUACCCACAGAAGAAGGACCGGCUAACUUCGUGCCAGCAGCCGCGGUAAUACGAAGGGUCCUAGCGUUGUUCGGAAUUACUGGGCGUAAAGGGCGCGUAGGCGGCUUAUUAAGUCAGGUGUGAAAGCCCCAAGCUUAACUUGGGAACUCCACUUGAUACUGGUAGGCUAGAGAUCGGAAGAGGUGAGUGGAAUUCCUAGUGUAGAGGUGAAAUUCGUAGAUAUUAGGAAGAACACCAGUGGCGAAGGCGGCUCACUUUCCGAUACUGUCGUAAGGCGCGAAA